RNAcentral lists this ribosomal RNA (712 nucleotides) under uncultured Bacteroidales bacterium. RNAcentral describes it as "bacterial SSU rRNA". It matches the Rfam family "Bacterial small subunit ribosomal RNA", at positions 66 to 772 of the family's 1533-position model. The record is from RNAcentral. Lineage: Bacteria; Pseudomonadati; Bacteroidota; Bacteroidia; Bacteroidales.
AACAUGAGGAAAGCUUGCUUUCCUUGAUGACGACUGGCGCACGGGUGAGUAACGCGUAUCCAACCUUCCCAUAACUACGGGAUAACCCGUUGAAAGACGGCCUAAUACCGUAUGACAUCGUUUGCUGACAUCAAAUAACGAUUAAAGGUUUAGCGGUUAUGGAUGGGGAUGCGUCUGAUUAGCUUGUUGGCGGGGUAACGGCCCACCAAGGCGACGAUCAGUAGGGGUUCUGAGAGGAAGGUCCCCCACAUUGGAACUGAGACACGGUCCAAACUCCUACGGGAGGCAGCAGUGAGGAAUAUUGGUCAAUGGGCGAGAGCCUGAACCAGCCAAGUAGCGUGCAGGACGACGGCCCUAUGGGUUGUAAACUGCUUUUAUGUGGGGAUAAAGUGCGUGACGUGUCAUGCAUUGCAGGUACCACAUGAAUAAGGACCGGCUAAUUCCGUGCCAGCAGCCGCGGUAAUACGGAAGGUCCGGGCGUUAUCCGGAUUUAUUGGGUUUAAAGGGAGCGUAGGCUGUCUAUUAAGCGUGUUGUGAAAUUUACCGGCUCAACCGGUGGCUUGCAGCGCGAACUGGUCGACUUGAGUAUGCAGGAAGUAGGCGGAAUCCAUGGUGUAGCGGUGAAAUGCUUAGAUAUCAUGACGAACUCCGAUUGCGCAGGCAGCUUACUGUAGCAUAACUGACGCUGAUGCUCGAAAGUGCGGGUAUCAAA